Molecule: ribosomal RNA, 800 nt
Filed under: uncultured eukaryote
Lineage: Eukaryota
Description: SSU rRNA
Rfam family: Eukaryotic small subunit ribosomal RNA
Source: RNAcentral
GGGCUUAGGUUGUGCAGUUAAAGCUCGUAGUUGAAUUUCUGGUCAAUUGUAGUCUUGGCUUCGGUCGGGCUAUGGUUGGUCAUCCGUUUGCAAGCUGCUCUCGGCCUUCACUGGUUCGGAGUAGUGAGCUGACAUUUUACUUUGAAAAAAUUAGAGUGUUUCAGGCAGGCUUUCGCCCGAAUACAUUAGCAUGGAAUAAUGGAAUUGGACUUAGGUUCAUUUGGUUGGUUAUUGGAUCUGAGUAAUGGUUAAUAGGGACAGUUGGGGGCAUUAGUAUUUAAUUGUCAGAGGUGAAAUUCUUGGAUUUAUUAAAGACUAACUUAUGCGAAAGCAUUUGCCAAGGAUGUUUUCAUUAAUCAAGAACGAAAGUUAGGGGAUAAAAGACGAUCAGAUACCGUUGUAUUCUUAACUAUAAACUAUACCGACUCGGAAUUGGUAGGGUAUUUUAGCUCUAUCAGCACCGUAAGUGAAAACAAAGUCUUUGGGUUCUGGGGGGAGUAUAGUCGCAAGGCUGAAACUUAAAGGAAUUGACGGAAGGGCACCACCAGGAGUGGAACCUGCGGCUUAAUUUGACUCAACACGGGGAAACUUACCAGAUCAAAACAUGGGUGGGAUUGACAGAUUGAGAGCUCUUUCUUGAUUCUAUGGGAGGUGGUGCAUGGCCGUUCUUAGUUGGUGGAGUGAUUUGUCUGGUUAAUUCCGUUAACGAACGAGACCUUAACCUGCUAACUAGUCUCUUAGUGCAUAACUGGGAGUACUUCUUAGAGGGACUAUCAGAUUUAAACUGAUGGAAGUUUGAG